AGUAUAACUUCAAUAAUGAACAAGCAUACAAACAUACAUAUGCGCAGCAGCAGCAAGGAAAGAGGUAACAAUCGGCGAUCCAUUGUAUAUUUCUUUCGUGCAUAACCAAACCAUAAUUAGAACAACGCAAUUCAAGUGUCAAUGGUGGUGUUGGUGGUAAGCGCUUCAAAAGAGACGACGAGCAGGUAGGUUCGAAUCCCAACAGAAUUUAUUUUAAAUUGAUUAUGUCACCAACCAAAAAUUGAAACAUUGUUCUACAAAAACAACAACAGCAUAAGCAUGGCAACAUUGUGUUGUUGGUAGAAAAGCCGAGCUGUGCCGAAAGAAACGAACAAGCGAUCGCCGAUUGUCACCGCUUCGCUUGCUGCUCGAACAACUUCGUAGACAAGGUUGCGUAGAUUCAUAUUGAGCAAGGUUGCGCAACCUGAAUCUAUCGCAACCUUUUCCGAACUCUUAUAAGAAGUAUAACUUCAAAAACACAAAAUAUAUUAAUUUUGAAACAAAUAAACGUUAAAGGUGCAUGAAAACUUUAUUGAUUCACUCUAUAUAAUCCUAUAUCUAUCUCGAUUAGUUUUAGGUAAUACGUACAACCGUUAGGUAAAAAAUAUUAUAAUACUCUCUAGCAACUGGUUGUAAGAUUAUAAAAAUGCAUUGCAAUUUUACUAAUCUCUGCAUGAAAAAUUGUUUGCCCACGCACACAAGGACAUUUUACCAUACUAAAACAUAUUUUUCCCGGUAUAUUACAGCGGAUUGAUUUGCAUGGCGCUAAAACACAGGUAAACUUUGUGAAUGAAAUUUCAUACGUAUAUGCAUUUGGAUAUUCAAUUGAUAAUUUGUCGGAAUCGAUCAGAUCAUAACUGGAGGGCUGUUGAUGUCAUAUUCGUAUGAAUAUUAAAACUAUAUGAUUUUUAUAGCAGGAACAGCCAAAACGUAAACUCGUAUCAGCUGAUACGACCUAUCUUAUGGGAGUGCAAUGUAAGUGAUCAGCAAAAACGCUACUCCCUUCCUCUUUGCCGUAGGAGUCCACGGCAUUUGGAUUUUUAUCGUAGAAACGUGUCAGCUGAUUGCUCUCUCGAUAUACUGAAGUAAUUAUAAAAGUUGUCUUCAAUAUGUUUGAAAUUUUCUAAAAAUAACACAAAAUCAGAGUCGAAUACUAUUAUUUAUAAAUAUAUAAACUAUUUUUAAUAGUUUCUUUACAGUUUUGAUAUUUUAUUUUAUAAAAAAUUGUAAUUGAAAACAUAGAUGUGCUCAAAACUAUAUAUGCGUAUUGAGCAAUGGCAGCAUUGUUCAAAUGUAAACAAACGCCAUUCAAACAAACGUCAAACCAAAAAUUUAUUCGAUCUAUUCAAAAAGGAAAAUACAUGUGCAAAUAUAUAAACAAUGGAUGAGCAGUCCAUACUAUAAGCUGCAAUCGAGAAAAGAUGCCUUGUGGAAUGAAAUCGGGAGAGAUAUGAACGAGAAAUGUGUCGCCGUAGAUGGCUAACACUUCGUAACCGGCACGGGAGGGAAGUGCGAAAGGCUAACGCCCCCUCAGGCAGGCAGGAUGGAAAUCCAAAGGCAGUGGCAUUUGUUGGAGGCUAUAAAAUUCCUGAAGCCACAUAUUGUACCACGACCGGUUAGAUGCUCACAAAAUAUUUGUGAAACCGCUGUCUGUGAUGAGGUCCCUUGUCGCCGUUAAUCCCUAUUACAAUAUCAACAAUAUUACGAUUAU
Long non-coding RNA from Bactrocera neohumeralis, 1711 nucleotides. RefSeq lists it as uncharacterized. The transcript has 3 exons. NCBI's taxonomy places the organism in Eukaryota, Metazoa, Arthropoda, Insecta, Diptera, Tephritidae. The record is from RefSeq and is a predicted model, not a curated record.